CCUGGCAAAUGUCUGUUUGCAUAUGUGCACCAGUGCCACUCAGUGGUGGAAACUGCAGUGCAUGCAAGAUUAUCUCCGUUCUACACACCUACUGUACGGCUACUGCUAUUCUUUUAGAGGGGACACAAGGGCCUUGUGGAUGUUGUGUCCAGUCCCACCCCCCCUCGUUAGGGACAGGGGGUCCUAUGGCCCAGUCCUCCACUCGUUAGGGACAGGGGGUCCUAUGGCCCAGUCCUCCCCUCGUUAGGGACAGGGGGUCCUAUGGCCCAGUCCUCCCCUCGUUAGGGACAGGUAGUCCUAUGGCCCAGUCUUCCACUCGUUAGGAACAGGGGAUCCUAUGGCCCAGUCCUCCCCUCGUUAGGGACAGGGGGUCCUAUGGCCCAGUCCUCCCCUCGUUAGGGACAGGUGGUCCUAUGGCCCAGUCCUCCCCUCGUUAGGGACAGGUGGUCCUAUGGCCCAGUCCUCCACUCGUUAGGAACAGGGGGUCCUAUGGCCCAGUCCUCCCCUCGUUAGGGACAGGGGGUCCUAUGGCCCAGUCCUCCACUCGUUAGGGACAGGUGGUCCUAUGGCCCAGUCCUAUACUCGUUAGGAACAGGUGGUCCUAUGGCCCAGUCCUAUACUCGUUAGGGACAGGGGGUCCUAUGGCCCAGUCCUCCCCUCGUUAGGGACAGGAAAAAACGAAUACAUUCUAAAAGCUUUAACAAGAGCAAGGUAUUGUGUUUCAUUUGAAAACAGCAUAACAGUUUGUAAAAGCAGAAUAUUUCAGGUUAAGCAAAGCUUCUAUUUAAUUGAGAUAUUUCAAGUGUCUUUUUCAUGCAUUUCUAAAUCAAGCCUGUGUUUUAUGAACUGAUUCUGGAUUUUUGGAUGGGGUCUAUCCUCCAGCAUUAACCACUAAAGUUCUCACCCAUCUCGCCUAAUCCACAUAGCCAACAAUAAGUGGUCCCAAUGGGAAUCAAACCCACAAUCCUGACGUUGCAAGCACCAUGCUCUACCAACUGAGCUGCAGAGAACUAACCCAUUAUUACGUAACCUCCUUAAAGAGUUACGUUUAUGCAAGAUUCAUCAGUGCUGAAUGUUUUCAUACUUCAUUUCCAAAGCAUGCAAGUCCCCAAACUCAUACUAGAAGCUAUGGAUGCAUACAAAGCCUGCUCCUUUUGUGUUUUCUUAGACAGCAAACCUAUAGAAGAUAAUUUUUCUAAUACAACUGACCCAAAACCACAAUUAACCUGGUUGCACUUGACUAUAUGUUAGGGUAUAGAAAUGUCCAGAGAUUAAGAAAUUACAUGGGAAAAUAGUAAUUACACAGUAAUUACAAAAGAAAACACACA
RNAcentral lists this long non-coding RNA (1328 nucleotides) under Salmo salar (Atlantic salmon). RNAcentral describes it as "lncRNA (ENSSSAG00000108338.1)". Lineage: Eukaryota; Metazoa; Chordata; Actinopteri; Salmoniformes; Salmonidae. The record is from RNAcentral.